This is a non-coding RNA of Paramisgurnus dabryanus, 1113 nucleotides long. NCBI's taxonomy places the organism in Eukaryota, Metazoa, Chordata, Actinopteri, Cypriniformes, Cobitidae. The record is from RefSeq and is a predicted model, not a curated record.
UGGAACAUAACGUUACAUUUUUUUGUGAGUAAAGUUAGGCAUUUCAUUUCUCUUGUUGUAUUUCAGAAAUCAUAACAGCCUGUCUUUUUUAGCACAGCGGCAUUCAAAUUGACCAAUCAGAGCCGAGAAUAUCUAAUAAGUCGAAGUAGAGAUGAACAGAUGAAGAUACAGCCCAUAAAAAUACUUAUUCUUGGUGAGUGCCAUGUAGCGACGGAUCAAACGGACACUCAUGUCAAGCUUGAUGAGGACACAGUCAAAGCUUUAAAAGACCUUGUGAUUAAGUCUUCAGUGUCUGAAUGGCAAGAAGUGACCCUCCACUUAAACGUGACAUUUAAACUGCUCUGUGUUUUGGUUCAGCCGUUUGUAGGUUUAUCUCGAGUAAGUUCAAAUGCACUUCUGCAUUUGUCCAGUAACUUUUUGUUUAGAGAAUUACAUCAUUAUGAUUAUAUAAUUAUUCAAUGGUUGCAUAUUCAUAGUGUACUUUUCAUAUUGAUGUAUUAAUGUUCCACAAUUUGAUAAAAGUAGCUCAUUGCAUUUCACUGAUCUUUGUUUUAUAUUGUAAAAUCAUUUCAAUAGCAGUGAAUACAUACUUAGUUGUUUCUUUAACAUUUAAUUAGUUGUUAAUGAUGGAAGAAACCGGUUCGUAUGUAUGAAUACAGAAUAGGUAUCAUUUUAGAAUGAGUUCAAACAUGUUUUGGUGGCAAACAUGCAGGUAAAAUAGUACAUGUAUAACAUUCUAAUAGUAAACUUGACUGUAAUUCAAAUGUCACAUACAGUACAUUAGAAAUGAUUUAUUUUAUGUAUACAAAUGUGUGGGCAAUAUAUUAUUAUUUCAUUUUGUAUGCUAUAUUAUUUAUGUAAUAUUAUUAUAUCUGAAAUUAUUAAAUUACAUUUAUAAAUGUUUAAAAGGUGGGUUCAAAUGUGCUUCAAGUUGUAACUGAAUACAAUUUUAGAAAAUAGCACAGUUGAGUACACUUAGAUUGUCUUAAGUUUGUCUUAACAAGUACUAAAUACUACUUUUUAGUAUAUUAAGCACAAUUUACUGCACGAAAAUAAAGAGCUUUUGGUACCUUAAGGUUGUGAACUUAAAGUGUAUUUUAGUGAACUUUUUCA